GUGGGGAAUCUUGCGCAAUGGGCGAAAGCCUGACGGAGCAAUGCCGCGUGAAGGAUGAAGGCCUAUGGGUUGUAAACUUCUUUUCUCAGAAAAGAAUUAUGACGGUAUCUGAGGAAUAAGCAUCGGCUAACUCUGUGCCAGCAGCCGCGGUAAGACAGAGGAUGCAAGCGUUAUCCGGAAUGAUUGGGCGUAAAGCGUCUGUAGGUUGUUUAAAAAGUAUUCUGUCAAAGAUUAGGGCUUAACCCUAGAUAGGCAGAAUAAACUUUUAAGCUAGAGUUUGGUAGAGGCAGAGGGAAUUCCCGGUGGAGCGGUGAAAUGCGUAGAUAUCGGGAGGAACACCAAAGGCGAAGGCACUCUGCUGGGCCAAUACUAACACUGAGAGACGAAAGCGAGGGGAGCAAAUGGGAUUAGAAACCCUUGUAGUCC
Molecule: ribosomal RNA, 426 nt
Filed under: uncultured bacterium
Lineage: Bacteria
Description: partial 16S ribosomal RNA
Rfam family: Bacterial small subunit ribosomal RNA
Source: RNAcentral